GCCGGGCGUGGUGGCGCACGCCUGUAAUCCCAGUUACUCGGGAGGCUGAGGCAGGAGAAUCGCUUGAACCCAGGAGGCGGAGGUUGCAGUGAGCUGAGAUUGCGCCAUUGCACUCUAGCCUGGGCGACAGAGCAAGACUCUGUUUCAA
RNAcentral lists this non-coding RNA (148 nucleotides) under Gorilla gorilla gorilla (western lowland gorilla). The record is from Rfam by way of RNAcentral. Lineage: Eukaryota; Metazoa; Chordata; Mammalia; Primates; Hominidae.